Molecule: microRNA precursor, 77 nt
Organism: Gorilla gorilla gorilla (western lowland gorilla)
Lineage: Eukaryota; Metazoa; Chordata; Mammalia; Primates; Hominidae
Source: Ensembl
GGCAGUGCUCUACUCAAAAAGCUGUCAGUCACUUAGGUUACAUGUGACUGACACCUCUUUGGGUGAAGGAAGGCUCA